UCCUUGGUGGUCCAGGUGGCUGAGACUCUGCACUCCCAAUGCAGGGAGCCUGGGUUUGAUUCCUGGUCAGGGAA
This is a transfer RNA of Ovis aries (sheep), 74 nucleotides long. It matches the Rfam family "tRNA". From Rfam's summary of the family: Transfer RNA (tRNA) molecules are approximately 80 nucleotides in length. Their secondary structure includes four short double-helical elements and three loops (D, anti-codon, and T loops). NCBI's taxonomy places the organism in Eukaryota, Metazoa, Chordata, Mammalia, Artiodactyla, Bovidae. The record is from Rfam.